AGAAUAACAGUCCGUCAUUCCUACUUUCGAACCCUUGAGUCUUCAACUUCUCCAGAUAAGUUAAUUGAAGCAGAUUCUUAGAAUAUGAGGAAAAUCAUUUUGUGCUACCACCAUAGACCUCCGUGCUGUUUCUUUUUAAAAUUUGUAGAAGCGGAAGUUGUUAGCUUGUUUUCUUGGUCAACAGAUUAAUCUGCCUCCCCCGUGGGUCUCUGCUGUUUUUCCAUUCACUCAGCUCAUACGUUCCUUGGCACAGUGCUUUCCCCCUUCUGGAUGCUCAAGAAAUAUGAUUUGAUGAUAAGCCUGCCUGUGAUUUCCAGAUGCCUUUGUUUCCCUCCUGUUGAUUCCUCAGUCUUGCCAGGGAAGUUCUACUUGAGUGAGAGAGGGGGCACAUGAGCAGGACGGAGGGACAGAGGGAGACAGACUCUUAUAGUGCAGAGCCGGAUGCAGGGCUCGAUCAUAUGACCCUGGGAUCAUGACCGGAGCUGAACUCAAGAGUUGGAUACUCAACCAACUGAGUCUGGAACCAAACCCACGAUAUCUCUGAGGUCUGUCUGUACACAGAUGUGAUUUGUGAUAAUAACACCGCAGAGGACGGGGAGGGAAAGGCACUGUAGGAGAACAAGAUCUUUGCGUACUAU
Molecule: long non-coding RNA, 638 nt
Organism: Neofelis nebulosa (Clouded leopard)
Lineage: Eukaryota; Metazoa; Chordata; Mammalia; Carnivora; Felidae
Exons: 3
Source: RefSeq, a predicted model, not a curated record